Molecule: ribosomal RNA, 253 nt
Filed under: uncultured bacterium
Lineage: Bacteria
Description: partial 16S ribosomal RNA
Rfam family: Bacterial small subunit ribosomal RNA
Source: RNAcentral
UACGUAGGGGGCUAGCGUUGUCCGGAAUCAUUGGGCGUAAAGAGCGUGUAGGCGGUCCGGUAAGUCCGCUGUGAAAGUCGGGGGCUCAACCCUCGAAUGCCGGUGGAUACUGUCGGGCUAGAGUGCGGAAGAGGCGAGUGGAAUUCCUGGUGUAGCGGUGAAAUGCGCAGAUAUUGGGAAGAACACCAGUGGCGAAGGCGGUUCUCUGGGACGGUACUGACGCUGAGACGCGAAAGCGUGGGGAGCGAACAGG